Carassius gibelio (silver crucian carp) is the source of this 629-nucleotide non-coding RNA. The record is from the annotation of a RefSeq genome assembly. Lineage: Eukaryota; Metazoa; Chordata; Actinopteri; Cypriniformes; Cyprinidae.
ACUCACAAAAAAAUGUGAGAAGCGGCAGAUGCUCUUUUCACACAGAAAGCAGGAAGUUUCAAUGUGUUUGAGAGUGAAACUGCAGAGACUCACAGUAACACAGAUCUACAGCUCAGAGCACAGACAACAUUAACACACACCUGAUCUGACCUAGUCAACAUGGAAAAACACCAGCUUCACCUGCUUCUCAUUUUAAUUCUGGCUUCAGGUGUGAUGACUGCAGACCAGAUUAGGCCAAAUAAAGAUGCAGCUGUCAUGAAGGAAGAUGAGACUGUGGCCCUCAGCUGCUCAUAUGACACAAGCAGCAGUUAUGUUAGACUUUAUUGGUUCAGACAGUAUCCUAAUGGGGAGCUUCGCUACUUAAUAUACAAGGCUGCACGGUCAAGUAGUGGAAGUGGGAGACCCGCUGAUCCUCGCUUUGAGUCGACUACAUCAGAUAAAUCAACUGAACUCACUAUUACUGGUGUAACUCUGUCAGAUUCAGCUCUCUUUUAUUGUGCUCUAAGAGUUGGAGCCCAGUGAUACAAAGUCUAUGUGAAGCCGUACAAAAACUCUAAUUAUUUUUUCCCUUUAAUGUCAAGCCACAUCAAAUCCAGAAUCUAGAAUUCACAGAAUAUAACUACACUUGU